RNAcentral lists this transfer-messenger RNA (288 nucleotides) under Dehalococcoidia bacterium. Its description in RNAcentral is "partial transfer-messenger RNA". It matches the Rfam family "transfer-messenger RNA", at positions 70 to 374 of the family's 374-position model. Rfam says of the family: Bacterial tmRNA, also known as 10Sa RNA or SsrA, is named for its dual tRNA and mRNA-like properties. Its role is to liberate the mRNA from a stalled ribosome. Lineage: Bacteria; Bacillati; Chloroflexota; Dehalococcoidia. The record is from RNAcentral.
AAACCGGUGGCAGCCAUUAACUGGCGAACGUGAAUUCGCACUAGCCGUCUAAAGAGCGGCUACGUCCGCCCACUGCAAGUCCCGGAUGCGGGGGUGCGGGCGCCAAGAGUCCGGGAUGCGGGUGUUCCUGUGCCGAUAAGGGGCAGCCAAAGAUUGAUCGGCUGGCGUCUCGGAGAUUCCGUCGGUGGAAGCUCUGAGGGGCGAGACUUAAAGCACCGGACAAGCUUGUAGUAGAUCCGACCAGGGGGCCUUUUGGACGGGGAGUUCGACUCUCCCCCGUCUCCACCA